UUCCACUUUCACUCUUUUCCCCCCUCACAGAUGGAUCUGCAUGGAGCCAUUCAGCACAAGGAGAGAGGUAUGACUUCCUCUUCCUCUUUUUGGGUGGAACCGCUAGGCCUCUCCAGUUUUCAACUGUGUCUUCAUCUGUUGGAUGGAUGUUUGUGACAGUGUCAGACUUCCCAGAACAGGAAGCAUCCAUUUCUGCUUUUCCGUCUACAUGGCAAGUUGUGGUGGGUAUUGGAUUGGCUCCUGUGAUGAUCACUGUUGCAACAGCAGCAUCUUCUUCACCUUCUUCACCUUUUUGUUUUGCAGAAAAAAUUCGCAUAUUACCCUCAAUGAAGGACAAAUGUCAAGCAAUGAAUUGAUCCACCCGAAUAGGCAAGUUUUCAUGCUUGAAGAUCCCACAUUUGAUGUUUUUGAACUCUGCUUCAACAUUGGCUGAACUUGCGGUGAUGUUGGUGCUUCGGAAGUGAGGGAUCAUUACACCUGUCCAGAGUGGUAAGUAACUUGCAAGCCAGAUUAUAUUGGGAAUAAUCUCAGGGAGGAAGUGCAUAUUAUCAUGAUCACCAUUAGCCAUGGCAAGUGACCUGCUCUCCUCACAUAUGUCUGUCACCCACUGCCGUAGGUCUGUCUGUGUUUGGUCAAAUGGAUGCACUUCUUCCAGGUCCUCACCCUCUACAUCUGGAAUGAUUACACACUCUUCUGAAAUUCUGGCUUUCAGGUAUUUCUUGCAUCUUUCUGAUAUAAGGGGGGCUCCAGAGCUAUCAUUGCCCUCUGCUUUGCUGAGAGCCAUAACAGUAAUACUGCGUAGUAGCUCUCUUGCAUUGUCCGUGGAUUGUGACUUGAGAAGCUGUGCCAUUGACCUCACAAAUAAAUCUUUAAUGUGAUGUGAUUUUUUUCUUCAAGCAGUCCCACUGGCAGAUCAUCUUGAUGCAGUGUGCAACAUCAACCCGAACAAAACAAGGUGGCACUUUUGCUGACACUUUACCGAGUAAGACACCACAACACUCAUUGAUGUAGGUCUUCAGAUCAGAAUGAGGAGUAAAAGCCUUGACCAGAACUGCAACAUUUGCACCACUGGGACACUUGAACUCUCAUCCCCUGCCAGAACACCCUGAUAUAAGAAGAUAUGGCCAGACAUGCCAUUUGGUCUCUGUAGUUUCCUCACCACUGAGCCAGUUGCAUCAAAACUCACAGUGGGGGUGGCCAAAUUAGGAAGAUGGCUUGGCUCAGGAUCUCCAAAAUCCAUCAGCUUUGUUGCCUCUGAUGCCCUCCAUACAUGGGGUUCCAUUCUACCCUCACACAGUUCUUUGUCUAUCUGCACACGCAAGUUACCAGACAUCGGACGCUUCGAACAUCCAGUGUGCAGGUAGUCAUCAGUGUUUUUAAUUACACAAUUGAGCACCAUUGGGCUGUUCAUUUCAGGCUCUCUGUCACAUUUUAUGUGAAUGUGGCCAUGACUUUCCUUACAAUUGACUCUGAUUUCUAUGAAUUUCUCUGUUACUAAUGGGUAGAACUUGGCUCUUUUAAAGACAAAUGUGCAGGGGCUUUUCACUUCUUCCCAAAUGUGAUGAUUUACCACAUGUGUCCAGAUGCCAGGCUUCAAAAUUGUGUAUUCCCUUUUUUGUGUUUUAGAGAACUU
Molecule: long non-coding RNA, 1633 nt
Organism: Ictalurus furcatus (blue catfish)
Lineage: Eukaryota; Metazoa; Chordata; Actinopteri; Siluriformes; Ictaluridae
Exons: 3
Source: RefSeq, a predicted model, not a curated record